Molecule: ribosomal RNA, 967 nt
Filed under: uncultured bacterium
Lineage: Bacteria
Description: bacterial SSU rRNA
Rfam family: Bacterial small subunit ribosomal RNA
Source: RNAcentral
AGAGUUUGAUCAUGGCUCAGAAUCAACGCUGGCGGCGCGCUUAACACAUGCAAGUCGCACGAGAAAGUGGAGCAAUCCAUGAGUACAGUGGCGUACGGGUGAGUAACACGUGGAUCAUCUACCUCUUAGUGGGGAAUAACCCUGGGAAACCGGGGCUAAUACCGCAUAAGCUCGAGAGAGGAAAGCAGCAAUGUGCUGAGAGAGGAGUCCGCGGCCGAUUAGCUAGUUGGCAGGGUAAACGCCUACCAAGGCAAAGAUCGGUAGCCGGCCUGAGAGGGCACACGGCCACACUGGCACUGAAACACGGGCCAGACUCCUACGGGAGGCAGCAGUGGGGAAUCUUGCACAAUGGGGGAAACCCUGAUGCAGCGACGCCGCGUGAGCGAUGAAGCCCUUCGGGGUGUAAAGCUCUUUCGGCAGGGACGAUCAUGACGGUACCUGCAGAAGCAGCUGCGGCUAACUACGUGCCAGCAGCCGCGGUAAUACGUAGGCAGCGAGCGUUGUUCGGAGUUACUGGGCGUAAAGGGUGUGUAGGCGGUUGCUUAAGUUUGGUGUGAAAUCUCCCGGCUCAACUGGGAGGGUGCGCCGAAUACUGAGUGACUCGAGUGCGGGAGAGGAGAGUGGAAUUCCUGGUGUAGCGGUGAAAUGCGUAGAUAUCAGGAGGAACACCGGCGGUGUAGACGGCUCUCUGGACCGUAACUGACGCUGAGACACGAAAGCGUGGGUAGCAAACAGGAUUAGAUACCCUGGUAGUCCACGCCCUAAACGAUGCAUAUUUGGUGUGGGUCAUUCAGUUGAUCCGUGCCGGAGCUAGCGCGUUAAAUAUGCCGCCUGGGGAGUACAGUCGCAAGGCUGAACUCAAAGGAAUUGACGGGGCCCGCACAAGCGGUGGAGCAUGUGGUUCAAUUCGACGCACGCGAAGAACCUUACCUGGGCUCGAACGGCUGGUUACCGGCGGUGGAAACAU